RNAcentral lists this ribosomal RNA (443 nucleotides) under uncultured bacterium. RNAcentral's name for it is "bacterial SSU rRNA". It matches the Rfam family "Bacterial small subunit ribosomal RNA", at positions 331 to 792 of the family's 1533-position model. The record is from RNAcentral.
CCAGACUCCUACGGGAGGCAGCAGUGGGGGAUAUUGCACAAUGGGGGAAACCCUGAUGCAGCGAUGCCGCGUGAAUGAAGACGGCCUUCGGGUUGUAAAGUUCUGUCGCAGGGGACGAAAAUGACGGUACCCUGCAAGAAAGCUCCGGCUAACUACGUGCCAGCAGCCGCGGUAAUACGUAGGGAGCAAGCGUUGUCCGGAAUUACUGGGUGUAAAGGGAGCGUAGGCGGGAGGAUAAGUUGAAUGUGAAAUCUAUGGGCUCAACCCAUAGCUGCGUUCAAAACUGUUCUUCUUGAGUGAAGUAGAGGCAGGCGGAAUUCCUAGUGUAGCGGUGAAAUGCGUAGAUAUUAGGAGGAACACCAGUGGCGAAGGCGGCCUGCUGGGCUUUUACUGACGCUGAGGCUCGAAAGCGUGGGUAGCAAACAGGAUUAGAUACCCUAGUA